This 438-nucleotide ribosomal RNA is filed under the name uncultured bacterium. RNAcentral describes it as "bacterial SSU rRNA". It matches the Rfam family "Bacterial small subunit ribosomal RNA", at positions 339 to 794 of the family's 1533-position model. The record is from RNAcentral.
AUACGGGAGGCAGCAGUGGGGAAUAUUGCGCAAUGGGGGAAACCCUGACGCAGCAACGCCGCGUGAAUGAUGAAGGCCUUAGGGUUGUAAAGUUCUGUCUUCUGGGACGAUAAUGACGGUACCAGAGGAGGAAGCCACGGCUAACUACGUGCCAGCAGCCGCGGUAAUACGUAGGUGGCAAGCGUUGUCCGGAUUUACUGGGCGUAAAGGAUGCGUAGGCGGAUAUUUAAGUCAGAUGUGAAAUACCCGGGCUCAACUUGGGUGCUGCAUUUGAAACUGGAUAUCUAGAGUGCGGGAGAGGUAAGUGGAAUUCCUAGUGUAGCGGUGAAAUGCGUAGAGAUUAGGAAGAACACCAGUGGCGAAGGCGACUUACUGGACCGUAACUGACGCUGAGGCAUGAAAGCGUGGGGAGCAAACAGGAUUAGAUACCCCGGUAGC